GACGAACGCUGGCGGCGUGCCUAAUACAUGCAAGUAGAACGCUGAAGGAGGAGCUUGCUCUUCUGGAUGAGUUGCGAGCGGGUGAGUAACGCGUAGGUAACCUGCCUGGUAGCGGGGGAUAACUAUUGGAAACGAUAGCUAAUACCGCAUAAGAGUAGAUGUUGCAUGACAUUUGCUUAAAAGGUGCAAUUGCAUCACUACCAGAUGGACCUGCGUUGUAUUAGCUAGUUGGUGGGGUAACGGCUCACCAAGGCGACGAUACAUAGCCGACCUGAGAGGGUGAUCGGCCACACUGGGACUGAGACACGGCCCAGACUCCUACGGGAGGAAGCAGUAGGGAAUCUUCGGCAAUGGACGGAAGUCUGACCGAGCAACGCCGCGUGAGUGAAGAAGGUUUUCGGAUCGUAAAGCUCUGUUGUAAGAGAAGAACGAGUGUGAGAGUGGAAAGUUCACACUGUGACGGUAUCUUACCAGAAAGGGACGGCUAACUACGUG
RNAcentral lists this ribosomal RNA (495 nucleotides) under uncultured bacterium. Its description in RNAcentral is "partial 16S ribosomal RNA". It matches the Rfam family "Bacterial small subunit ribosomal RNA", at positions 28 to 507 of the family's 1533-position model. The record is from RNAcentral.